GCCAUACAUUAUAUCAAUUAACAUGGCCACCGUGAUUGAGCAAUGUCAAGUUGCGCCACCCCCCGGCGGUGCAACGGAGGUGACACUCCCUCUUACUUAUUUAGAUCUUUUUUGGUUAGGGUUUCAUCGUAUGCGACGGAUACUAUUCUACAAGCUUUCCAUUUCCAAAUCCGAUUUCGUUCAAAACAUUAUUCCUCCUCUUAAGAAUUCACUCUCCCUCACUCUCAAACACUAUACGCCCUUAGCCGGAAACGUUGCUUGUCCACUAGAUACAAACGGAUAUCCUGAGUUACGUUAUGUGACAGGAGAUUCUGUGUCUGUUACUUUUUUCGAGACUGAUAUGAAUUUCAAUUAUCUCAUUGGUGACCAUCCGCGUAAGGCUAAGGAUUUUUAUCACUUUGUUCCUAAGUUAGGGGAACCUAAGGAUGCACCGGGGGUCCAACUAGCCCCGCUCUUAGCCAUUCAGGUGACACUUUUUCCGAAUCUUGGUGUAUCCAUUGGUUUCACUAACCAUCAUGUUGUUGGUGAUGGAGCUACUAUAGCAGGGUUCAUUAAGGCGUGGGCUCUACUCCACAAAUUCGGUGGACAUGAACAAUUCUUAUCGAAUGAGCUAAUUCCAUUUUAUGAUAGGUCCGUAGUAAAAGACCCAUAUGGACAAGGGAUGUCCAUCUGGGAAGAAAUGAAAAGCAAGAAUCUAGAUAUGCGUGACGUUAUGACUCCUCCUCCUGAACACAAGGUUCGAGGUACAUUUACUAUUAAAAGAGAUGAAAUAGAGAAACUGAAGAAUUUUAUAUUGAACUCAAGA
RNAcentral lists this unclassified non-coding RNA (805 nucleotides) under Hevea brasiliensis (rubber tree). The record is from RNAcentral. Lineage: Eukaryota; Viridiplantae; Streptophyta; Magnoliopsida; Malpighiales; Euphorbiaceae.